UAACCAUGGCAACAAAGAAGUACUGCUUCCAAGCAAAACCCUGAACUAAAUAGAACCAAGUUACUGUUGCACUCAAACAGUCAUGGGUCUGUUUUUGUUGUAGUGGUGAACGGUUCCAGCUUUAAGGGCCGGGUCCAGUUCAUUUAGGUUGGAACCAAACAUACUGGAUCACCUCUGAGGUUUACUUCCAGCCCAUCCUCCGUCGUCGGCCCGGGCUUUUUACAGGGCAUAGACCCCAUUGUGGCUCCUGGAGAGGCUCCCGCAUCACUUCUGUGAUUUCCUGGGCAAGUACGAGGCGACGCGGCACUUCAGGCCAUUGGUCGUGAUUGUUCGCUGCCACUCGCCGAGAAUGAGGGGAACCACAUGCUCACUGGGUACCACCACAGGGUCUGAGCAGACCUUUUCUGCGGCGCGUUGACACGACUCAGGAUGCUUUGAUUCUCAAACCGAGGAGGACGGUCAAGUGUCACGCAGGCCUGCGCCGCACCGACUCCGUGGGAGCUGAAGUAGAGUCAAAACACGCGGGAGCAGGCGAGGUCUCCCCUCAGUGAAAAAAGAAGGACGGCAUCAGCAGAGAAGAGGCUGACAGGAGUGUGAUGAGGGCCCACGGUGAGCAGAUCCGACAAGGCUACACCAAACGUCUCCUCGCUGACUUAUUAGCAUCUUGAAAAGAAAAGGGGUGGAUGGUCGGGACGCCAGAUUCAGUGUAAAACUCUAACUCUGGUUUCUUCUGGAGAACGGAGAGGAAGAACAUCGGACUCCGACUGCGCCGCAUCCGUUCAUCCACCGCCGUUAAUUAAGAUUCAUAGGAACGGACGAGGAAGCAAGGUCGAGAAGAAGCGUCUGCACAUGCGACCCCCCCUCCGCCCCUCUCCAUUUAGGAGCAGCACAUCUCCCAGCUCUCCCAUCCUCGCCAGCAGGAUGUUUGGAGGACAGACACGUCAGCGUGGGGUCAAAGGCCUCCGUGACCCAGACUCAUCGACAGCAACGUAGCAUCACUGGGACAAGAUUCCCUUCAGAAGAUGUGAAAGCAACGCUCAUCCUCACGAGCAGUCAAAGGAGGGAGCGCUCUGCUGUCAGUCAGCAGGCUUCUAAUGCUCCACACAUGCAGACACACAACACUACUGCUGUCUAUAGCAGCAAGGGCGCGAUUCCACCAGUAACUCGGGCAGCACUGGUGAAAAGAACAUCAAGAAGAGGAAAGUCUGGAGGUGAAUAGGAGCAAAGGAGGAAUUUUUUAACUAAAAGAGAUUUGUAAUAUCAUACAAAUUAUUACUACUAUAAAAUACUAUAUUAUUAUUAUUAUUAUUAUUAUUAUUAUUAUUAUUAUUAUUAUUAUUAUUAUUAUUAUUAUUAUUAUUAUUAUUAUUAUUAUUAUUAUUAUUAUUAUUAUUAUUAUUAUUAUUUACAUUGUGUUUUGUUUUCCUUUUAAAGUUGAGUUAAAUUUUAUAAUCAUUGAUCCAAUUGGAAAUAAUGGUGUUUCUUUAACACGUCAAAACCAUAAAAAGAAGA
Betta splendens (Siamese fighting fish) is the source of this 1512-nucleotide long non-coding RNA. RefSeq lists it as uncharacterized. The record is from RefSeq and is a predicted model, not a curated record. The transcript is spliced from 5 exons. NCBI's taxonomy places the organism in Eukaryota, Metazoa, Chordata, Actinopteri, Anabantiformes, Osphronemidae.